RNAcentral lists this long non-coding RNA (611 nucleotides) under Sus scrofa (pig). RNAcentral describes it as "lncRNA (ENSSSCG00015016590.1)". Lineage: Eukaryota; Metazoa; Chordata; Mammalia; Artiodactyla; Suidae. The record is from RNAcentral.
GGUGGGUGGCCCCAUUCCCCAUUUGAAGGUAGAACUGGAUGGAAUAGAGAAUGACCAACAGUCCACUCCAGAAGCUCAACACGAGGCACUGGGCCUUUGGGAAGAUAUUUAUUGAGCACCUAUUGGGUGCCAUCAGUUUGCUCAGGAGCUUUGUAGAAGGAGCCCUGUAAGAGAUGCGUAUUCCAGGCGCACAGUCAGAAGCCAGCCAGACAAGCCCAGGAAGGAGUACUACAUUGAUUCAUGACCAGACCUGCCGAUUUCCCACUCAUCCUAAUCAUUCUUCUAAGGAGGGGCUCCAGAAACCCAAGAGAUUGAGAGACCUGGUCAGAAAUAGAUCUGGGUACAAAGGACACACUCAACAAGUGGUAGCUGUUGACCUCACUGUCACCAUUCCCAACAUCGUCCCCAGCUUUGCCAUCACCACCACCAUCAUUACCAGAGUUAUUGCCAAAAUUGUCAGCAGCAGCACCAACACAGUGAUCACCAUCUUCAUUAUUGCCAAGUCACUAUCCCCAUCAUCAUCAUCAUCACUAUCAUCCAAGAUUUCUCUUAGAUUAUCCACUUUCUUAGGUUGGGGAACCCUGUUUUCUCUGUUAUUGCAGACAAAAUGA